This 498-nucleotide ribosomal RNA is filed under the name uncultured bacterium. RNAcentral's name for it is "partial 16S ribosomal RNA". It matches the Rfam family "Bacterial small subunit ribosomal RNA", at positions 30 to 523 of the family's 1533-position model. The record is from RNAcentral.
AUUGAACGCUGGCAGCAUGCCUUACACAUGCAAGUCGAACGGCAGCACGGGGCAACCUGGUGGCGAGUGGCGAACGGGUGAGUAAUGCAUCGGAACGUACCUUUCAGUGGGGGAUAACGUAGCGAAAGUUACGCUAAUACCGCAUAUUCUGUGAGCAGGAAAGCAGGGGAUCGCAAGACCUUGCGCUGAUUGAGCGGCCGAUGUCAGAUUAGCUAGUUGGUGAGGUAAAGGCUCACCAAGGCGACGACCUGUAGCGGGUCUGAGAGGAUGAUCCGCCACACUGGAACUGAGACACGGUCCAGACUCCUACGGGAGGCAGCAGUGGGGAAUUUUGGACAAUGGGGGCGACCCUGAUCCAGCCAUGCCGCGUGAGUGAAGAAGGCCUUCGGGUUGUAAAGCUCUUUCGGCCGGGAAGAAAUCGCACGGGCUAAUACCCUGUGUGGAUGACGGUACCGGAAUAAGAAGCACCGGCUAACUACGUGCCAGCCGCCGCGGUAA